Long non-coding RNA from Apis cerana (Asiatic honeybee), 4631 nucleotides. RefSeq lists it as uncharacterized. Lineage: Eukaryota; Metazoa; Arthropoda; Insecta; Hymenoptera; Apidae. The record is from RefSeq and is a predicted model, not a curated record.
AGGCUGUGCUACCAUAUUGUUUCUUAGAGUCAAGUACUUUUCUUUGUCUUUUCUUGAGGGGAGAUUAAUUAAUCGACACGCGAAAGUUCCUUCUUUUAACAUUUUCUCCUGAAUGUGCUCGAAAAAGGAAAUAUUUCAGUGGUUAUUCGGUAUAUGUUCGCAAAGUUACAGCGUCCAUUUAAUGGACGCACGGAUUCCCGCGAAAGUACCGUACUUUCCAAUCGUAACUCGUAUUUCUCGAAAGGCGCAGAGAAGGAUUGUUCAAGACAGAAACACGAUUUUUACAUAACGCCCUUGCGGACAAAAUAUAUUUGUGAUUUUUCUUUAUUAACGAGUUAAUCCAUCAUAAUUGAUAUUCGCAGAAGAAAUGAAAUACGCUUUUCGACGCCUAUGGUCAUUAUCGUCGCUCUCGACCGGGAUCGAUUUCGCAACGGUGUCGGUUACGUGCCUGUUUCAAGAACGAAAAAACGCGAGAUCCGGGGCGAAUUCGGUGUCGCACGAACGCGGUCAAUUAACUUUUUUUGUGCGUAAUGGAAAAACAGAAGCAUCAGUGGCGACGAGACAAGGGUAUAAUAUUGACGAGCAGUGACGUCACGCGGCGCCCCGUUGUCGGAUUAUACGCACAGCAUCCCCUUCUCUUUUGGCACGUCCGGCCGAACACCCACGCGUGCUUUUAAUGCUACCCGUGUCAUGCUAAAUAUUGCACUUACCCUCCAACGGGAUGAUUAAAGUUUAUUUUUGCGCGGGGAUUCAUAAUUGAGUUACGGUGGAGAUAGAAUAAUUUCAUGAGAUUAUUCUCGUAGAUCCGUUUAUGCCAAAGUCCAUUACGAGUAUUUUAAACUAAAUUUACAUUUUUGUAUAAGAUCUAUUUUUUAAUAGAUUAUUAUAUUUCUUAUAUUUUUAUUAUAUCUGUACUUAUUUAUAUAUUUUAUUUCUAUAUAUAUAAUUUCUAAUAUUACAAUAUUUUUAAUUAUUACAUAUGUUGAAGUUAAGUAGAUAAGAAUAGGUAUAAUAUAGAUAAAAGAAAAAAAUAUUGAUGAAGCUUCAUUAUAAAUGAUUCAUUUAUUUCAAUUAUAUUCGUUUGGAAGAGUUUUUAGACAAUAGUUUGAAAAUUUAAAGAAAUCAAGUAAGAUGAUAAAAUUUAAAAUCAAAUAUUUUUUUGCUUUUUAUUAAUAAAAAAAUUAUAUAAUAAAAUCAGAUAGAAUUAAACUUUAAUAAUAAAUUAUCUAAUGAAAGAUAUUAAAUUCUUCUAAAUUCAUAAUUUUAUUUGAACCAAUAUAAAACCAAGAUAGUUUUUGAAGUGCAAAGCAGCUUUAUCUUUGAAAAAAUUCUUGAACAAUUUUUAGUAAUCAAUGGAAGCAAAUUUGAACUUAGAAAGAUAAAUCGUAAUAUUUAUCGGUCGCUUAUGAUAAAUUCACGUCAUGAUAAAGCGGAAAAGAAAAAAAACUAAUACUGAAAGAAACAGCUGUUACUAUACUAACAUUAAUCGGUGAAAUCGCGUGACAAUGUGCAAAGUACAAGUUUCUGUUUAUCGAAAGUUAUGUCUGUAUUCCCUUCUGUCGAUAAUGUAGAUCACUAUUUUUUUAAUGUUUACGUUAUUGUUUAUUAUUUUUAAUGCAACAAGUUGUAAUACAUUGUUAGUUUUUCGUAAAUAUGAUAUUCUUCAAAUAUGAUUUUUUUAAUUUUAAUUUACUUUGAAAUGAUAAUCGUUUUUUUAUUUUAUUUUAUAUACAAUGUUUAUGUAUAUUAUUUAUAUAUAUUUCAUGCAAUAUAUUAUUAUUACUUAUUCUAAAGAUAUAUAAAUUUCUUAUAUACGAAUUAUUUAUAAAUUAAAAAUAUUUAAAAGUAAACAGAAUUAGACGCUAAGAAUGUAACCUUGAAUAAAAUAUAAUUCAUAAUGUUAUAGAGCGCAACAUAUGGCGCAAGCAGUUUGAAGUUUCUAACCUCACUUUGUUUUUCAAUAGAAACUUUGAUAGAUUUUAUAUAACAUUAAAUACAUUGGAGAUCUCGGUUUUUACUAAAAAAAAAAGAAUAUUUGGAAUAUUCUCGAGAUUUCCUGUUUCCUCUUCAUAACUAAAAGGUACAAUUAAAAACGUGAUAUUUUAAUACGUCGUAUUAAACAAGACACGUGUUUUUUUCGCAACAGUAUUGCAACGUAUAUGAUAUCAAAAUAUAAAUAUAUUUUAAAUAAGACAAGAAAAAAUUUAUAUAAAGUAUUGCACAAUUUGUAAAUAUAUUUUACGUGUAUUUUAUCAGAUAUUAUUAUUAUUGAAAUUUUUAUUUGAUUUUGAAUCAAUACGCGCAUCAUAUAAUUCAAUAUAUAAAAUAUUUAUAUCGAUGUUAUUUUAUUAUCUAUAAAAAAUUUAUUUUUCUCGUUAUAUAUAUUAAAAUAUAUUAGAAUAUAUCGUGUUAAAAUAUUUGAUCAUAAUAAAGUGAAUUUUAUAUUUCAUAUACAACUUUAUUUAUAUGAUUUUUAAAUAUUAAUUGAGAAUCUAAUAAAUAAUUAUUAUUAAUUUAAAAAAUUUUUGCAACUGAUAUGUAAAUUUAAACGUCCGAAAAAUGAGAACAUAGCAUACAAAAGUGUUAUUGUAUUUUCAUGUAAGUUUAAUAUGUAAAAUAGAGUAUCAAUAACAGACCAUGUCAACUAGCAUGAGUAGAGAUGUUAUACAAGUCGCGCAUAGAUAUGAGAAUCAGAGCUCGGUAGAUUCAUAACCGUAACUUGACUCGUCUUCGGUACUAUCGUCUCGUUGUAAACAAGUCUAAGCAGUCCAGUGUGCCUGCCGGCGCUAUGUAGGUUACUAUCGCAACGGUCUGCGCCUCCUCGACCCGCCUUUAAGGUCGUUUACAGCCAGUAACCCGAAUCCACUUCUUCUCAUCAUUUUCUUUCUUUUUCUCACUUCUUUUUUCGCUCUUUUACCGUUUUUCGUAAUCCUUUUGAAUGAUUGUUUUAUGUCAAAAAAUAGACAAGUUUAGUUCGACAUUAUUGCAGUGAUUUCUAAGUAAAACUAUUGCUCUGGCUUUUAAAUUACUUGAUUACAUAGAGAAAGUUUAAACUUUCUGAAAAUUUUAAAAUAAAAAUCAAGAACACAAUUAAAAUUUUUUGAAAUUAGAAAAAAUAUUAUAAUUAUAUGUUGAUUCUCUUUAUUGUAUGAAACUGUUGUUACUUAAAUUACAGUUUUUUCUAAUAUAAAAUUAAAUGAGAUUAUUUACAUUAAAAUAUUUUAUAAUAUUCGAUUAAAUAUUUAUUCGCGAUAUUCCUACAACCAUUUGCAAUAAUUUUGCAAUAAUUUUGCAAUAUAUAUAUGCAAGAGGCAUUACGCAUAGCGACCGCGUAACGCGUUUUUCGUACGAUUCCUUUUUCCACCGGUAGCGCACGCGCUGAUUAACCUCGUGGUUGGUUCCGAUGUGCUUAGCCAAUGUUGUAGCAGCGCCGUUAGCUACAUGACGAUUUUUUGUAGUGGUAGUGCCACGUAUACAUAUGCGUGCACUGUUGCACACUAUUCAAUGCGCUCCAAGAAUUACCAAGUAGUGGAGUGUCACGUGACACCGUCUUGUGGGUAUAUAAAGACGACCGAUUGCUGGUGGAAUCAGCCACUUGCGAACUGGCUCCGAGGUUCGUGUUAUGGCUCGUUCUUUUGAUACUAACUAAAAAUUUCGGUUUAAGAUUGUUUAUCUUAAAGUAAGAGAAUCAUCGAAGAAAUUAUUUCCUAUUGUAUUACUUACGAUACUAUUGAGAAAAAAGUGAAAAAAGAAUCGUAUAUAUACAUAAACAAAUAGCGAAUUAUAAAAAAAGCUCAUGGGAAAAUUAUUUGAGGUAGGUCAUUGAUUUCAAUGACGAAUAGAAAAGUGACGUAGCCCGAUUGCUUGAUCGUCAUAGAGAAAUGGACAACACGCAUGCGCGAAACGUUGCCCCUAUAGCAAGAAGUUCUAGAUGUGUAUAUCGCGAAUGCGCAUGCCUACAGAUCAUAGAAAUAUAUAUAGAUGUGAAUAUAAAUAUACAUAUAUGAAUACACGACAUAUAAUAAUAACAUGUAAAUAUAUAUAUGUGAAUUUUGAGAUUUUAUAAUCAAUAUAAUCAAGAAUUGACUAGAUUAUCUAUAAAAAAACGAGUCGAGUAAGGUAUACAUAUUUUCAAAGUGGAAAGAGAGUUACCACGAUACCACGAUAAAGAUCUCAUUUAUGCGCAUGUAUUUGUUACGUCUGGUAAAAUAUGUGAACGUCCUACACUGAAAGAGAGAGAUAGAGAGAAAGACGCAUGUGUCAGAGUCUGUGCAUCGGUUCCAAGGCCCUCUCCGAGCACUGCCUCCCGAGGAUUUCAACUUCUUUUUGUCCGGCGUUCAAGGUGAACCCGUACAAGAAAAAAAUUCCUACGUUCUCCUGAUUGUCAGAUAGCAAUGCGGGACAGAAAAUAUACUGACCUACUGACUUUUUCAUAAGGGAUUUCCGGUAUUAGUUUUCAAUUGCUAUGUGUUAUAAUAAUAACUACUGAUUGUCAUCAUCCAAUUACAAGAUUAUUAAAAAUCUUGUUAAGUUUUGUAAAUCAUUCGUUACACAUGCAUAUAGAAUCUUGAAAUCAUUACUUCAACAAUUAAUUAAAUAUUAAAAACUACAAAUUUCAUUAUCAAAAUUCA